GAUGAACGCUGGCGGCGUGCCUAAUACAUGCAAGUCGAGCGAACGGACGAGAAGUUUGCUGCGCUGAUGUUAGCGGCGGACGGGUGAGUAACACGUGGAUAACCUACCUAUAAGACUGGGAUAACUUCGGGAAACCGGAGCUAAUAGCGGAUAAUAUUUUGAACCGCAUGGUUCAAAAGUGAAAGACGGUCUUGCUGUCACGUAUAGAUGGAUCGCGGCUGCAUUAGCUAGUUGGUAAGGUAACGGCUUACCAAGGCAACGAUGCAUAGCCGAACUGUGAGACUGAUCGCCCACCCUGGAGCUGAGCCGCCCACCAUGCUCCUGCGGGAGGCACCAGUAGCCUACCUUCCGCAGUGGGCGAAAACCUUACGGAGCAACGCCGCGCGAGAGAUGUAAAUCUUCCGAUCGUAAAGCUCUGUUAUUAGGGAAGAACCUAUGUGUACGUAACUGUGCCCCUCUUGACGGUACCUAAUAAGAAAGCCACGGCUAACUACGUG
RNAcentral lists this ribosomal RNA (497 nucleotides) under uncultured bacterium. RNAcentral's name for it is "partial 16S ribosomal RNA". It matches the Rfam family "Bacterial small subunit ribosomal RNA", at positions 28 to 507 of the family's 1533-position model. The record is from RNAcentral.